Molecule: long non-coding RNA, 813 nt
Filed under: Rattus norvegicus (Norway rat)
Lineage: Eukaryota; Metazoa; Chordata; Mammalia; Rodentia; Muridae
Description: long non-coding RNA NONRATT019098
Rfam family: Small nucleolar RNA SNORA43 (bases 367-497)
Source: RNAcentral
GACGGUGUGGUGUGUAGGUUCCUAUCGUUAUUGCUUCCGUUGUUGGCCUGGGGCGCCGCGGAUGACCCUACAUAGCCCUUGGCCGGCCACCGGGAAGAUUGCGUCUCGUACUGACGAUCGUAACAAAGACGCACCGUGCUUUCCUUCUGAGGGUUUAGUCGCCCUAAUACGUGCAGCAGACUAGUCAUGUGGAAGUUUGUCUGCUGAAAGUAAGCGCCCUCCCGGGAGGAUGUGUUGAACUUUUGGGAAGGUUGGUGACUAAACUCUGCUUGUGCUAACUGCCCAGCAAUGACUCAGUUGAGGUAAGAGGUGGGCUGGACCCACUGGAGCGUGCUCAGAUGGGAUGUACGUGGCUGCCUUGAAGAUGCUGUCCUAGAACAGCACCACAGGCCUGGCUCGGCUUUGCCUGUGACAUUGGGGCAAAGAGCAAGUGGCUAUUUCUACGCUCAGUGUUCAGAAGCCAGUGAGCACUAAGAAUGGUUUGUAGCCUGACAUUUUGCAGAGCCACAGUGGAAUGGCACUGGGGUUUGGCUUUGCUGUUGGCCAGAUGCCAAGCCUCUAGGGCUCACCAAAGGGUCACAUGGUCAGCAUUUUAGCAAGACAGAACUUUGGAGGUGUGUGUGAGUUUUCUAGAAGACCUUCUGAGAAGCUGGGAAAAUACAAGAAAUUAUCCGUCCUUUCUUCAUCUUCCAGAUCCAGAAGCCAGGAAGAAGGAAGGGGGCCUACUUAUUGGCCAAGAUGGCUGAUCGGGAUGAGUGCAGAUAUGAUUUUAGGCCGUGGGCCUGAGGUAUGUCCUCUGACCUCACCAGUGUC